GGAAAAUAUGUACAGAUGGUAUGUGCUAGAAAGUCGAAACAUCUGUCAGAAGUUUCCUAAUCAAGCAGUGGUUUUGUUGCUGAUAUUGACACAUCUUCAUGACAAUUUGAUUGCGUGUGACUGCUCCAUUGAAAAUCCUGUUCCCGCUUUGGUUUGGCUUUGGUUCCAUUCAAACGGAGCCAAACCAUUAAAGACUGAUAGUCCCACUGAUUAGGUUGUUUACGACGUGUGAAAUACCAAUUCGGACCUAUAUAUUUUGGUUUUGAUUUAUUUUAGUUCAGUUUGGUCCGCAUCAUUUGAGAUGCUAUUUUGAGAUAUCGCACUUUUGAUGUCACUAAUAUGUGAGAAUUUGUUACUGUGCAGCCGAGUCUGUGGGAACCCCCAUGGGUUGAUCAGGAAAUAUGGCCUGAUGUGCUGCAGGCAGUGCUUCCGUAGCAAUGCAAAGGAAAUUGGGUUCAUCAAGUAUCGCUGAAGUUUGAUCGCAUCAGAGGGGGUAAUUUAGGUACAAUCUGAGUUAUGGUUAGGAGGAGCUGCUGGCUUUUUGAUUGUGUCCAUUUGGAGUAAUUUCCCCUUUUUUUUUUCCAAGUGUUUACGAGAUUUAGUUUAUUCAGCAUGUUAGACUGGCCAAAGUUUCUCCCAAACAAAUUAUUUGAUGAAUAGUCAAGUUCCUUUUACUCUGCUUUUAUGAAGUAUAGAUAGGCUUAUUAUUAUUUAUAGCAAUUCAGAUUUGAGCA
Neltuma alba is the source of this 734-nucleotide long non-coding RNA. RefSeq lists it as uncharacterized. Lineage: Eukaryota; Viridiplantae; Streptophyta; Magnoliopsida; Fabales; Fabaceae. The transcript is spliced from 2 exons. The record is from RefSeq and is a predicted model, not a curated record.